Xenia sp. Carnegie-2017 is the source of this 226-nucleotide long non-coding RNA. RefSeq lists it as uncharacterized. The transcript is spliced from 2 exons. NCBI's taxonomy places the organism in Eukaryota, Metazoa, Cnidaria, Anthozoa, Malacalcyonacea, Xeniidae. The record is from RefSeq and is a predicted model, not a curated record.
GGCUGCUUGGCAUUUCACAUUGCGCUUCUAAGACAAACUUCCUUUGAGGUAAAACGCACAAACAUUUUGAGCCCAUGUCGACACAUCGUGGUCGUCGCCCACAAGAAAGUCGUCAUGUUCUACAAGAACAUCGUCAAUAAUCUAAUUGUCUUCAAUUUGGUAAUACUAUAUAGCUUAGUUUUUGAUAAAUGUAAACGAAUAUUGCUAACUAUAACUAUAAUAUUCA